Molecule: ribosomal RNA, 1080 nt
Filed under: Lactobacillus crispatus
Lineage: Bacteria; Bacillati; Bacillota; Bacilli; Lactobacillales; Lactobacillaceae
Description: bacterial SSU rRNA
Rfam family: Bacterial small subunit ribosomal RNA
Source: RNAcentral
AAAGCAGAUCGCAUGAUCAGCUUUUAAAAGGCGGCGUAAGCUGUCGCUAUGGGAUGGCCCCGCGGUGCAUUAGCUAGUUGGUAAGGUAAAGGCUUACCAAGGCGAUGAUGCAUAGCCGAGUUGAGAGACUGAUCGGCCACAUUGGGACUGAGACACGGCCCAAACUCCUACGGGAGGCAGCAGUAGGGAAUCUUCCACAAUGGACGCAAGUCUGAUGGAGCAACGCCGCGUGAGUGAAGAAGGUUUUCGGAUCGUAAAGCUCUGUUGUUGGUGAAGAAGGAUAGAGGUAGUAACUGGCCUUUAUUUGACGGUAAUCAACCAGAAAGUCACGGCUAACUACGUGCCAGCAGCCGCGGUAAUACGUAGGUGGCAAGCGUUGUCCGGAUUUAUUGGGCGUAAAGCGAGCGCAGGCGGAAGAAUAAGUCUGAUGUGAAAGCCCUCGGCUUAACCGAGGAACUGCAUCGGAAACUGUUUUUCUUGAGUGCAGAAGAGGAGAGUGGAACUCCAUGUGUAGCGGUGGAAUGCGUAGAUAUAUGGAAGAACACCAGUGGCGAAGGCGGCUCUCUGGUCUGCAACUGACGCUGAGGCUCGAAAGCAUGGGUAGCGAACAGGAUUAGAUACCCUGGUAGUCCAUGCCGUAAACGAUGAGUGCUAAGUGUUGGGAGGUUUCCGCCUCUCAGUGCUGCAGCUAACGCAUUAAGCACUCCGCCUGGGGAGUACGACCGCAAGGUUGAAACUCAAAGGAAUUGACGGGGGCCCGCACAAGCGGUGGAGCAUGUGGUUUAAUUCGAAGCAACGCGAAGAACCUUACCAGGUCUUGACAUCUAGUGCCAUUUGUAGAGAUACAAAGUUCCCUUCGGGGACGCUAAGACAGGUGGUGCAUGGCUGUCGUCAGCUCGUGUCGUGAGAUGUUGGGUUAAGUCCCGCAACGAGCGCAACCCUUGUUAUUAGUUGCCAGCAUUAAGUUGGGCACUCUAAUGAGACUGCCGGUGACAAACCGGAGGAAGGUGGGGAUGACGUCAAGUCAUCAUGCCCCUUAUGACCUGGGCUACACACGUGCUACAAUGGGCAGUACAACGA